Molecule: ribosomal RNA, 371 nt
Filed under: uncultured organism
Description: bacterial SSU rRNA
Rfam family: Bacterial small subunit ribosomal RNA
Source: RNAcentral
CAGAGGCCCGAGCGUUAAUCGGAAUCACUGGGCUUAAAGGGUGCGUAGGCGGGUCAGUAAGCGCUUUGUGAAAUCCCACAGCUCAACUGUGGAACCGCAGGGCGAACUGCUGAUCUUGAGGAAGCUAGAGGCUGGUAGAACGAUAGGUGGAGCGGUGGAAUGCGUAGAGAUCUAUCGGAAUGCCGAAAGUGAAGACAGCCAGCUGGGGCUUUCCUGACGCUAAAGCACGAAAGCGUGGGGAGCAAACCGGAUUAGAUACCCGGGUAGUCCACGCCCUAAACGAUGUGCACUAGACUGGAGCGGCUCUGACGUCGUUCUGGUCGUAGAGAAAUUGUUAAGUGCACCGCCUGGGUAGUACGGUCGCAAGGCUA